AUUACAGCCACUAGAGCCAGUCCCACAAAGAGCUUUCCUUAGUAUGUGCCAUUUCUGUGGAGGGUGGGGGUGUGGCCUUGACCAACUGCCACUUUGCUCUUUUGAAAGCCAUGAUGUCUCUUUCUCAUGGGCGGGCCAAAUUCUCUGGGCGGGGAAAGCAGAGAAAGGGGAGGUAACCUUGCUCCUUAUGACCUCAUAAGGAGCAGAUUCCAAAUCGGCCCAUCUGAGCUUUCAUUUUCUCAAAGGCAGAGUAGGAUACCCAAGGCUCGGUUUACACUUAUCGCCAUUUCUAGCCACUGGGGGACCAUAGGCAGGCUGGGGGAACGCA
This is a long non-coding RNA of Sander lucioperca (pikeperch), 328 nucleotides long. RefSeq lists it as uncharacterized. The record is from RefSeq and is a predicted model, not a curated record. NCBI's taxonomy places the organism in Eukaryota, Metazoa, Chordata, Actinopteri, Perciformes, Percidae. The transcript is spliced from 2 exons.